RNAcentral lists this ribosomal RNA (252 nucleotides) under uncultured bacterium. Its description in RNAcentral is "partial 16S ribosomal RNA". It matches the Rfam family "Bacterial small subunit ribosomal RNA", at positions 524 to 776 of the family's 1533-position model. The record is from RNAcentral.
UACGUAGGGCGCAAGCGUUGUCCGGAAUUAUUGGGCGUAAAGAGCUCGUAGGCGGCCUGUUGCGUCCGCUGUGAAAUCCCGGGGCUCAACCCCGGGCCUGCAGUGGAUACGGGCUGGCUAGAGGCAGGCAGGGGAGAACGGAAUCCUGGUGUAGCGGUGAAAUGCGCAGAUAUCAGGAGGAACACCGGUGGCGAAGGCGGGUCUCUGGGCCGUAACUGACGCUGAGGAGCGAAGACGUGGGGAGCGAACAGG